RNAcentral lists this ribosomal RNA (867 nucleotides) under Enterococcus faecium. Its description in RNAcentral is "bacterial SSU rRNA". It matches the Rfam family "Bacterial small subunit ribosomal RNA", at positions 56 to 892 of the family's 1533-position model. The record is from RNAcentral. Lineage: Bacteria; Bacillati; Bacillota; Bacilli; Lactobacillales; Enterococcaceae.
UGCAAGUCGAACGCUUCUUUUUCCACCGGAGCUUGCUCCACCGGAAAAAGAGGAGUGGCGAACGGGUGAGUAACACGUGGGUAACCUGCCCAUCAGAAGGGGAUAACACUUGGAAACAGGUGCUAAUACCGUAUAACAAUCGAAACCGCAUGGUUUUGAUUUGAAAGGCGCUUUCGGGUGUCGCUGAUGGAUGGACCCGCGGUGCAUUAGCUAGUUGGUGAGGUAACGGCUCACCAAGGCCACGAUGCAUAGCCGACCUGAGAGGGUGAUCGGCCACAUUGGGACUGAGACACGGCCCAAACUCCUACGGGAGGCAGCAGUAGGGAAUCUUCGGCAAUGGACGAAAGUCUGACCGAGCAACGCCGCGUGAGUGAAGAAGGUUUUCGGAUCGUAAAACUCUGUUGUUAGAGAAGAACAAGGAUGAGAGUAACUGUUCAUCCCUUGACGGUAUCUAACCAGAAAGCCACGGCUAACUACGUGCCAGCAGCCGCGGUAAUACGUAGGUGGCAAGCGUUGUCCGGAUUUAUUGGGCGUAAAGCGAGCGCAGGCGGUUUCUUAAGUCUGAUGUGAAAGCCCCCGGCUCAACCGGGGAGGGUCAUUGGAAACUGGGAGACUUGAGUGCAGAAGAGGAGAGUGGAAUUCCAUGUGUAGCGGUGAAAUGCGUAGAUAUAUGGAGGAACACCAGUGGCGAAGGCGGCUCUCUGGUCUGUAACUGACGCUGAGGCUCGAAAGCGUGGGGAGCAAACAGGAUUAGAUACCCUGGUAGUCCACGCCGUAAACGAUGAGUGCUAAGUGUUGGGAGGGUUUCCGCCCUUCAGUGCUGCAGCUAACGCAUUAAGCACUCCGCCUGGGGAGUACGACCGCAAG